AGGUUCCGUCAGGGUUGCAGACAGGUACGAACACCUGUGGGAAGAGUUUCUUAGCUUGCUGCUCAGUGUAUUUCUUCUCUGCCACACACCUGGACGUAUCUGGAGACACAACACAGGUGGUGCUAUGCAGGUACAGGAUUAGACACUCAUCAUCUAUCAGGCCUGCCAAUGAAGCCCCUUUUAAAGAUGCAUGACUCCACUGCUUUGGAGAUCUUGAGAAGUACUAUAAACUUUAUGAUUCAUUUGUUCACAAACUCUGUCCAUUUUCUUUUCUAUAUAUAACCUCAACCUUUAUUUCUCAUCAUUUACUUUAAACACACAGUCAAUAUUCUGCUCAUCGUGUCAGUGUAAUAUAGAAAACAGAAAGUCCACAGAGAGCGAGUGCAUUAAAUUCAAACCGACAGGCAAGUCCUCUGGCGUUCUCUCUCUCUGACUGAUGUGGCACUGGUGUUUUUUCUUUUAUUUUUUCAGAGGAAAGGAAAGAAUGGUAAUUGUGAAAGAAAAUGAAGCAGGAAAUAAGACUUGGUUUCUUUUGCAGUGACAUGUGACUUCUUAGACACAGAAUAAUUCAAGAUGUUUCGGAAGUGGUGGAUCCAUGUGUGUGGUUGGGAUUUGGACCAAAAGUCCUACUGGAGUCAUCAGUAUCGCUAUGCCAGUCCAGUGGUAAAACAAUCACAGAUAUCUUUGUGUUGAGUCUGUGUGAGGUGAUGGUGUCCAGCAGGUUGUAAUGUAUUUGUGAAUUUGUGGAUGUCGUCGAUGCAGCUGGGCAGAAAACCCUCCAGAGCUCAUCAGUCUCGAAAUUUCAUUUUAAUGGAGACAUACUGUAAACUCACUCUCUUCACUGGGCCAAUCAUUACAAAACUUUCUGUCUGGGAUGGCAUGAGAGGAUGAAAAGAAAAGCAAUGAAAAAAGUGAAUAAGACAAUCCCAAAAUGCAUUGCAGGCAAAAAUGAGUAUACGAGGUGAGAUAAAUGCCAGCCUAUACCUUAUCAUUCAGUACUGAAAAAUAUCACAAAAAUAUAGUUCAGUCUAUUUAAACUUGGCUAUUUUACACAAUACUUGAGUGGAUUAUGUAUUUUAUUGUUUAUUAGAGUCUCAUGGCAUUUGCUUAUCGCAAUGGAUGGAUGCUGGAAAAUGUGUUCAAUAAAUAUGUUAAAUAAAAGAGUAAGGACGCUGAUCGCUGAGUGUUUCCAGAGUGGAAAAAUUUAAAAAUAGGUCAGAGCAAAAGAAAAGUUUCAAAAGCUGUAUUUUAUGCUUAGAAACAAUUAUUAUUUAUGCAUUUAACAUUUAUAUACUUCCCGUUCCAAUCUAAUCAUUCCUUUUUGGUUUUCUUUCUCUCCUUUUAGUGGAACAUAAUUCACCCUCUUUUCAUACCACUUUUCCUCUCUCUCUUUUUCUCACACCCUUUUUAAUCCCAAUGCAAGAAUGACACAUUGUGCUUACUAGUAGGGAAAUAGAGUGAACGGGAGACAGAAAGAAAGACAGCUCUGAGCAGAAGAGAAAGAAAAGAUGCAGGGCACGAGAGUCUUCCGGCCGAGCCCGAUACAAUGAGAGUGUCUGUAAGCCGUUUGACCUUUGACCUCUAUGGGUACUGCCCCUCCUCUCAUACAAAUGACCACUGAUCUCUCACAGAUAUGAAUGCACCACUGUACAUUUAUUUUUACAUGGACAAGAUCUCCAUCAAGAUCUUAGCACAGAUUUUCAAAAAGCACACAAGCUAAUUACUUUUUUUUAUUUUUUUUAUUUAGUAUUUAGUGAAAAUGCACCGGUCUUUGUAUAUUUUUAUAUACUGCUAGAUUUUUCGUAUUUAAUUCCCAGUCCAAUUAUAGUGAAUUUAUAGACAACAUAAAAUGGCAUUUGCAAUCAACAAGUAGUAAUACAUUGUGGAGCUUGCUUUGGUCCAUCAGGUUUUGAUUGGAUAGUGAAUAUUAUGCUAUGAUAUUAUUGGUUCACAUGAUUUUUUUCCUUGCUGAUGUGGCCUUGGUUACAUCAUCAGAAAAGAAAAGUUGUUCCAGAGGCAUAAAAUGUAAGUUAAUACAUUUUUAUUUCAAUUUUAUAUUAUUAUUAUUUUAUAUUUGAUGGGGUUUUUUAACAAACUUUUUUUUUAAUUUAGGAUGCUCUGAUACGGAAAAUAAGGAGUAAAGCUGAGCUAUACCAACGGUCUGCAUUAAUCGUGUCACCUGACUUCAGGAACUUUCAAUGACACUGCAAACAUCACCUCACCGACAUUCAAGAGUGGACAGGAAAUCGACUUGCUUUGUGUCGGGACAUUAUCUGCACAGCUGUGACCCUGUGCCCCUUCCGCUCCGUCAUUCUCAGCGCUGCUGUCAGUGAGCUCACAGGAGGCCCGACAGAGAUGUCAGGAAACAGAUUCUGCCCGGAGCGCCGCCGAGCCAACCACAAUCGGCCACGAUGGUCAUCUCGCGAUCGCCGCCAAGACAGAGUUCACAAUCCUCACACCCAGGCCAAGCGAUUGCAGCCAACGCGGUUCAAUUCGGUCACAGCCGGUGUCUGAGACAUGGACAAAACCAACACGGCCACCACAGAGAUCUCAUUACAGCCAAGACACAUUUAGCGAUUCAACACUUUAACAGUUGAAAUCGACCCAAACGAGACCCCACAAAACCAGACACGGCCAAAUAAUCACCAAUCAAUUCAGCCGCAGCCAAACCGAGACACGUCCAUUGAAUAUCACUGGGGGAAUCUGAAACCACCCACGACUGCUGUCUGUAUACAGCAUCAACAGCUGGUCACAGAGACACCAGAGGACCACCAGAACCAGUCCAAACAGACCUCAGAUGCUUUCUGCACCAUGAGAACAUUGACAGGAUCACAUUCAGGACUGUUUCAGAACAAACACUACAGACACUAAAUACUGUUAAUUAUACAGUAUUUAGUAAUAUAUUAUGUAUUCAUGUUUUCAAACAGUAUAUUUGUUGUGUGUUGCUAUGCUGUUGCUAGGUAUUGCACACAGGCCAAAGCCAAAAGAUAAUUUUAUCAUUUCUCUAUUUUGAAAAUCAUAAUUCCAAUCUCCUAGAAAAAGCAUUGCACAGUUUAUAUUUUGCAUGUUUUGCAUGAAGUAUUUUGCUGAAACGUGCAUGGCAAGUUAUGCUCUGAAGUUUAAUAAUGUAAGCAAUUUGUUCAAAUCACUAAUCCUAAGUAUGAAUAAUAGAAAUGUUUGCUUUAGCAAGUAUCACUAAUGAGUGAGAUAAAUGUUCCUCAGUGGUUCAGCAAAGUACAUAGAAACCAAUAAACUGACCCAAAGAA
This is a long non-coding RNA of Ctenopharyngodon idella (grass carp), 3266 nucleotides long. RefSeq lists it as uncharacterized. NCBI's taxonomy places the organism in Eukaryota, Metazoa, Chordata, Actinopteri, Cypriniformes, Xenocyprididae. The transcript is spliced from 5 exons. The record is from RefSeq and is a predicted model, not a curated record.